UACGGGGGGGGCAAGCGUUGUUCGGAAUUACUGGGCGUAAAGGGCUCGUAGGCGGCCAACUAAGUCCGACGUGAAAUCCCCAGGCUUAACCUGGGAACUGCGUCGGAUACUGGAUGGCUUGAAUCCGGGAGAGGGAUGUGGAAUUCCCGGUGUAGUGGUGAAAUGCGUAGAUAUCGGGAGGAACACCAGUGGCGAAGGCGGCUUUCUGGUCUGCUCUUGACGCUGAGGCGCGAAAGCUAGGGUAGCAAACGGG
Molecule: ribosomal RNA, 253 nt
Filed under: uncultured bacterium
Lineage: Bacteria
Description: partial 16S ribosomal RNA
Rfam family: Bacterial small subunit ribosomal RNA
Source: RNAcentral